This 254-nucleotide ribosomal RNA is filed under the name uncultured prokaryote. RNAcentral's name for it is "partial 16S ribosomal RNA". It matches the Rfam family "Bacterial small subunit ribosomal RNA", at positions 522 to 775 of the family's 1533-position model. The record is from RNAcentral.
AAUACGAACCGUCCAAACGUUAUUCGGAAUUACUGGGCUUAAAGGGUAUGUAGGCGGCGCUGUUAGUCGGGUGUGAAAGCCCUCGGCUCAACCGAGGAAUUGCGCCCGAUACUGCAGUGCUUGAGGGAGACAGAGGUAAGCGGAACUGAUGGUGGAGCGGUGAAAUGCGUUGAUAUCAUCAGGAACACCGGUGGCGAAAGCGGCUUACUGGGUCUCUUCUGACGCUGAGAUACGAAAGCUAGGGGAGCGAAGGG